Non-coding RNA from Pangasius djambal, 67 nucleotides. The record is from the annotation of a GenBank genome assembly. Lineage: Eukaryota; Metazoa; Chordata; Actinopteri; Siluriformes; Pangasiidae.
AGUCCAGCGCAGUGGUUAGGGUAUUGGACUACUGAUCAGAAGGUUUUGAGUUCAAAUCCCAGCACCA